Molecule: long non-coding RNA, 1829 nt
Organism: Anas platyrhynchos (mallard)
Lineage: Eukaryota; Metazoa; Chordata; Aves; Anseriformes; Anatidae
Source: RefSeq, a predicted model, not a curated record
CCGGGGCGCUCCUGGGGCCGGGGAGGUCCCCCCAAAAUGGGGGCCGCCUGCGGGGUCCCGGCCUCCCUUGACACCUCGCUCGAGGCCCCGCGAGGUGUGGGGUGGCCGCGGCCGGUCCUUGAGGAGCUCCGGGGGGGAGCGAAGGCAGCACCCACCUCGCUGCCACCCCGGUGGGCACGGAGAGGACCGGGAGAAGCCGGCGACCCCGCUGGGCCCCCCCGUGCUGCAGGGAGCCAGCACCUCCCAUCCUCAUCCUACAGGAAUAAACCACCCGGGUGCAGCCCUCGGUGCCUCCAUCACCCCCAAAAUCCUGCUGGGCACCGGGCUGCUCGCUUAUCGCAGGCCUGAUGGUCCUCAAUAUGCUUUUUUUUUUAUUUUUUUUCCUUUUUUUUCCCCUUCUUCCUGCUGCUUUGCAGCGCGCUGAGCCGGCGUUCCCCUGCAGCAGCUCAGCCGCGGUGGAAUCGGAGGCUGCCUGGUGUGACCCAAAAUGGAGAGAGCUCCCGCAGCUCGCCCGGGGAUGGGGAUGGAUUCGCGGCGGUUCUGUACCUUGGCCCGUGCUGCCGCUGCUGCCACAAAGCCUGGAGUAAAAUAGAUUUAUUUCAGGCGUGCAGGCAGCCUCGGGAAGCCGCUGUGCGCUCACCCAGGAGCCGGGCUUUGCUCCUCUAGCCGGAGCUGCCGGGCGUGCACCGAAGUGCCAUGACAAAGCAAAUUAUCACGUGUGAAGGAGGGCUGGGUGGCAGAGGGGCUUUUUCUUCCUCCUCGUGGUGAAAACCUCUCCCGGGAGGAGCCGGGAGGCAUCUCUCCAAGGCAAGGCCUCCGCGAAAAGGGGAUGCGAAGAGGGGCUGCGGAACUUCUUGGGGAGGUCCCCACCGAGGGGCUGCGAGGGGCACGGUGCUGGCAGCCCCCUGCCGUGAUAACAGGCGGUGUCAGGAGCCUUAUCUCGUCUUAUCUCGCCUUGCUGCAGCCCCCGGAGCUGCUGCAGGUGGGGAAGCAGAAGCAGGCGCUGGGUUCCCGUUGGUGUGAGAUGCCUGCGCCCCGUGCAGGCUCGCGGACCCCUUGUCACUGCCUUUUGUCACCACCGUGGGGCACGGGGGGAUGUGAUGGGUGGCUUGGCCUCUGGUGCUGCAGGAAUUGUGCUGGCGCUUCAAAGGGGCAAAAACACGGCUGUGAAAGGUUUUGAGAUAUAUCCCGGAGGAGUGUCUGAAGCCCUUAAGGUCAGUCCCAAACCGAGCAGGGUGUCCGGGGAGGUUUCACGCUGCUGGAAGCUGCUGCCCUGGCUCAGCGGGGGUCUGGUGCUGGCUGUCCCUUUGCAGCCACUCGUCCCUUCCCCCUGAGACAUCAGUGAUGCUGUCCAUGGCCCGAUGCUGCUGGGCCAAGGCAGCGGGCACCCCGGGGAGCUCAGCCCGGCACCUCGGGCCAGGACAGAAGCAAGGAGGUGCUCUGCAGGAGCAGCCGGGGGUGGCGGUGGGGUCUGCGAGCUCCCAGGAGCUGUGCGGAGCAACGAAGGACGGGGUUCGUGGGGAGCUUCUUGACCCGUUUUGUUCCAAGGAGUUGGAGCUGGGGCCAGCGAAUUCCCAUCCUGGAGCUACCAGGAGCCACCAGGAGCCCGCUGCCUCCUCCUGCUGCCCGCCCGCACGGGGAGGACGCGUGGAAGGGCCGGAGGGUUACGGAGCCACACGCGCGCGGUUCCAGGAGCUGGGGAGCUCAGGGAAACACCAGGGGCAUUGAUGGGCCAACGAGCUCAGUGCUGGCUGAUCGCUUGGCUGGAACAAUUAACAGCUAAACGCCACGGAAUAAAUGGCCGUCGGGCUCCUUCCUUUGCAAGACGA